UUGAUUGAAACCAAAGAGAGGUGUAUCACUGUUAAUGAUAAUAUUGAAAUUUUAUUUCCAAUCAAG
This 66-nucleotide transfer RNA is filed under the name Portunus armatus. Its description in RNAcentral is "tRNA-Asn". Lineage: Eukaryota; Metazoa; Arthropoda; Malacostraca; Decapoda; Portunidae. The record is from RNAcentral.